GUGGAUGUUUCGAUUAAUUUUCGGAUGCAUGCUGUAAAUGGGCCUUGUGGUGAAGUUUUGAAAGACGUUUAUUAUUCAUAAAAAUAAAUAGUUUGCUUUAAUUCCCUCUGUUAUAUGCAUUGUUUGUGUGUUAAUAUUACCUUGUAGUUUAGUUAUUUUAAUCCCAUUUGUCAUCAUUGAGAUAAUUGUGUGUGGCUUCAUCUCUUGUAGAGACAUAUAAGGAUUCAGAGAGUUGACACAUUACCUGAGCUGCAGCAGUGCAACAAGUGUUACAGCAAUUACCAGCAAUUUUCUGCUUGACCAGCAUGUUUAAGCCAGCCAAACUGGUCAAAUUAAUAAGUCAUCUUCAAAUCCACUUCAACAUGCAGUUGUCUGUGGAGUACAUCUUGUCUUGGGAGCACCCUUUGAUUUUACAUCUUGUGACAUUCCAAUCAUACGGAGAUGGUGGACUCCAGAUGGUUUUCUCUGAAAGUGCAGAAACCCUACAAGAGGCCCUUCCAAUUGGAUAACAGGCUACGCUUGUGAGGAGAUCCCAGUAAUCUCACAGAAGUUGUGAAAUGGCUCCAUCAAACAGACAUCUGCUCAGGG
This is a long non-coding RNA of Sinocyclocheilus rhinocerous, 588 nucleotides long. RefSeq lists it as uncharacterized. NCBI's taxonomy places the organism in Eukaryota, Metazoa, Chordata, Actinopteri, Cypriniformes, Cyprinidae. The transcript is spliced from 5 exons. The record is from RefSeq and is a predicted model, not a curated record.